RNAcentral lists this non-coding RNA (140 nucleotides) under Stephanopyxis turris. The record is from RNAcentral. Lineage: Eukaryota; Bacillariophyta; Melosirophyceae; Stephanopyxales; Stephanopyxidaceae.
AAAGUCCGCCAAGCGCAUUUUUGAUCGUUGGUGGCGUCCAAGAAUCAUCGGAACCAUCAUCAUGAUCUUCCCUAAAAUGGCAUUCGCCGGAAUGAUAUGUAACAUGAUACUAAUAAAUUCUCACACAUCAGAAGCGUUCG